Molecule: unclassified non-coding RNA, 391 nt
Filed under: soil metagenome
Description: partial contains 5.8S ribosomal RNA, internal transcribed spacer 2, and large subunit ribosomal RNA
Rfam family: 5.8S ribosomal RNA (bases 1-122)
Source: RNAcentral
GAUGAAGAACGUAGCGAAAUGCGAUACUUGGUGUGAAUUGCAGAAUCCCGUGAACCAUCGAGUCUUUGAACGCAAGUUGCGCCCGAAGCCAUUAGGCCGAGGGCACGCCUGCCUGGGCGUCACACGUCGUUGCCCCCCCAUCUACUCCUUCGGGAUUGCGGGGGGCGGAUGAUGGCCUCCCGUGCGCCUCGUCGCGCGGUUGGCAUAAAUGCCAAGUCCUCGGCGACGCACGCCACGACAAUCGGUGGUUGCGAAACCUCGGUUGCCCGUCGUGUGCGGUCGUCGCGCAUCGAGGGCUCGAAAAAAUUGUAGGGCUCCGGCUCGGCUUUCAACGCGACCCCAGGUCAGGCGGGGUUACCCGCUGAAUUUAAGCAUAUCAAUAAGCGGAGGA